Molecule: long non-coding RNA, 229 nt
Organism: Anoplopoma fimbria (sablefish)
Lineage: Eukaryota; Metazoa; Chordata; Actinopteri; Perciformes; Anoplopomatidae
Exons: 3
Source: RefSeq, a predicted model, not a curated record
GAGCAGAUCAUUCAGUUGAGACUUUCUUUCUUUGCUGGAACACGGUUGCGUUACCAUCUGGAUUUGACUGUUGCCCGUUCUGGAUUUGACUGUUGCUACAAUUUCCUCUGCUGGGUUCGCUUGAUCAAAACAAAAAUGAAUAGAAAGACUGUGCCUGUCUCCUUAUCAGCCUUAAGACGAAGGACACGUGCAGACGUUCAAAAAGGCCAGGAACUGCAGUCCCUCCUCA